UGGGGAAUAUUGCACAAUGGGCGCAAGCCUGAUGCAGCCAUGCCGCGUGUAUGAAGAAGGCCUUCGGGUUGUAAAGUACUUUCAGCGGGGAGGAAGGCGAUAAGGUUAAUAACCUUGUCGAUUGACGUUACCCGCAGAAGAAGCACCGGCUAACUCCGUGCCAGCAGCCGCGGUAAUACGGAGGGUGCAAGCGUUAAUCGGAAUUACUGGGCGUAAAGCGCACGCAGGCGGUCUGUCAAGUCGGAUGUGAAAUCCCCGGGCUCAACCUGGGAACUGCAUUCGAAUCUGGCAGGCUAGAGUCUUGUAGAGGGGGGUAGAAUUCCAGGUGUAGCGGUGAAAUGCGUAGAGAUCUGGAGGAAUACCGGUGGCGAAGGCGGCCCCCUGGACAAAGACUGACGCUCAGGUGCGAAAGCGUGGGGAGCAAACA
Molecule: ribosomal RNA, 427 nt
Filed under: uncultured bacterium
Lineage: Bacteria
Description: partial 16S ribosomal RNA
Rfam family: Bacterial small subunit ribosomal RNA
Source: RNAcentral